GAUGAAGAACGUAGUGAAACGCGAUAGUUAAUGUGAAUUGCAGAAUUCAGUGAAUCAUCGAGUCUUUGAACGCACAUUGCGCCCAUUGGUAUUCCGUUGGGCAUGUCUGUCUGAGCGUCAUUACAACAGUUCAGCGUAAGCUGGUUAUGAGUUCUGUUUUUUUAAACAAAAAACAGGCUUUAAAAUGUAUGUUCUGCAGGUCGCUUUGCUAAACCCUAAACAUUAAAUACUGUUCUAGUGAAGCAAUUGCGACUCUGCCUGAAAAAAAACUUUUGUUAAAGUUUGACCUCAGAUCAGACAAGGAUACCCGCUGAACUUAAGCAUAUCAAUAAGCGGAGGA
This 340-nucleotide unclassified non-coding RNA is filed under the name soil metagenome. Its description in RNAcentral is "partial contains 5.8S ribosomal RNA, internal transcribed spacer 2, and large subunit ribosomal RNA". The stretch from base 1 to 120 matches the Rfam family "5.8S ribosomal RNA", at positions 35 to 154 of the family's 154-position model. The record is from RNAcentral.